CCCGAGCUGCAGCCGUACCGCCGCUCUGAGCGGCGCUUCUGGGGCCGGAGAGCCGCGCAACUCCCGACACAGUGUUGCGGCUCCGUGGAGCAAUAAAUAACGCCGCUCAGGUACUUUUUCUUCCAGAGAGCCAUACAAAUUGGUCCGUGUUGACAGACGUUUGUCACUUAGUAACUUCUUUCCAAGGUUGUUUUUUUUUUUUUUCCCUCCCUCUUCCCUCCUCUAAGCCUUCUUCCGAGCCCGCUUUGUUGUUUUAAAAUAUGCAUGUCUCUCAGGAAUGCGAGUCACGAGUCCAAACUUCGUGUCCAACCUCCCACAAGAAAUGAUCCUUUUAUAGGGAACCCGAUAUGUCUCAAUCUGCACUUCACUCAAAGCCGCUGGAUAUAGGGCGCCGCUCCCUGCGCGCAAAUCACCGAGCCAGAGCGCCUUUCUAGCCCCCCCCCCCCAGAAACACACGCAUGGCUCCCGGGGAGGAAAUACAUCUCCCAUGGCAUGGUGAGAGGGGAGCGCAGUCUGGAGGAAGGAAAAAAUACAUAGGAAAGGGAAAAUAAAGAAAAAAAAAGGAGGAGAGAGGGGAAGUUUAACUGCUGCGCGCACCGCGCAGGGCCGUCGCAAGCAGUGGGUUUGCCAAGGACGUGCCCCUGUGCAACUCCGGGUGCGUGGGGAGAAGGCGUCAGCUCGUGGCGAGCGGAGGAGAGAUGGAGGAGCUGAGCCCAACUUCGGGAAAAGAAGUGUGGAAGGAAGGACACAAAGAUGGUGUAUCGGUGACAGGAAGAAAGUGGCCUUUUAA
This 790-nucleotide long non-coding RNA is filed under the name Numida meleagris (helmeted guineafowl). Its description in RNAcentral is "lncRNA (ENSNMEG00000006927.1)". The record is from RNAcentral. Lineage: Eukaryota; Metazoa; Chordata; Aves; Galliformes; Numididae.